UAUUAUGAUAUUGUCAACUGCAUUUAGGUU
RNAcentral lists this non-coding RNA (30 nucleotides) under Rattus norvegicus (Norway rat). Lineage: Eukaryota; Metazoa; Chordata; Mammalia; Rodentia; Muridae. The record is from RNAcentral.